AGAGUUUGAUUAUGGCUCAGAACGUACGCCGGCGGCACGCCUAACACAUGCAAGUCGAACGAAGUAGCAAUACUUAGUGGCAGACGGGUGAGUAACAUGUGGGUAUCUACCCUUUGGCCUGGAAUAACACGAGGAAACUUGUGCUAAUACCGGAUAAGUCUUUACGGAGAAAGCUUUAUGCACCAUUGGAUGAGCCUGCACUUGAUUAGUUAGUUGGUAGGGUAAUGGCCUACCAAGACUUUGAUCAAUAGCUGAUUUGAGAGGAUGAUCAGCCACAUUGGGACUGAGACACGGCCCAAACUCCUACGGGAGGCAGCAGUGGGGAAUCUUGCACAAUGGAGGAAACUCUGAUGCAGCGAUGCCGCGUGAGUGAAGAAGGCCUUUGGGUUGUAAAGCUCUUUCGUCGGGGAAGAAAAUGACUGUACCCGAAUAAGAAGGUCCGGCUAACUUCGUGCCAGCCGCCGCGGUAAUAC
This 473-nucleotide ribosomal RNA is filed under the name uncultured bacterium. RNAcentral describes it as "bacterial SSU rRNA". It matches the Rfam family "Bacterial small subunit ribosomal RNA", at positions 8 to 526 of the family's 1533-position model. The record is from RNAcentral.